RNAcentral lists this ribosomal RNA (495 nucleotides) under uncultured bacterium. RNAcentral's name for it is "partial 16S ribosomal RNA". It matches the Rfam family "Bacterial small subunit ribosomal RNA", at positions 28 to 507 of the family's 1533-position model. The record is from RNAcentral.
GACGAACGCUGGCGGCGUGCCUAAUACAUGCAAGUAGAACGCUGAAGGAGGAGCUUGCUCUUCUGGAUGAGUUGCGAACGGGUGAGUAACGCGUAGGUAACCUGCCUGGUAGCGGGGGAUAACUAUUGGAAACGAUAGCUAAUACCGCAUAACAGUAGAUGUUGCAUGACAUUUGCUUAAAAGGUGCAAUUGCAUCACUACCAGAUGGACCUGCGUUGUAUUAGCUAGUUGGUGGGGUAACGGCUCACCAAGGCGACGAUACAUAGCCGACCUGAGAGGGUGAUCGGCCACACUGGGACUGAGACACGGCCCAGACUCCUACGGGAGGGAGCAGUAGGGAAUCUUCGGCAAUGGACGGAAGUCUGACCGAGCAACGCCGCGUGAGUGAAGAAGGUUUUCGGAUCGUAAAGCUCUGUUGUAAGAGAAGAAAGAGUGUGAGAGUGGAAAGUUCACACUGUGACGGUAUCUUACCAGAAAGGGACGGCUAACUACGUG